This is a non-coding RNA of Triticum aestivum (bread wheat), 67 nucleotides long. Lineage: Eukaryota; Viridiplantae; Streptophyta; Magnoliopsida; Poales; Poaceae. The record is from Rfam.
CCAUCGCUCAGUUGGUAGAGCAUAAGGCUCUUAACCUUGUGAACGUGGAUUCAAGGCCCAUGAUGGG